UACGGAAGGCAGCAGUGGGGAAUAUUGCACAAUGGGCGAAAGCCUGAUGCAGCUAUGCCGCGUGUAUGAAGAAGGCCUUAGGGUUGUAAAGUACUUUCAUCGGGGAGGAAAAACAAAACUAAUAAUUUUAUUUCUUGACGUUACCCGAAAAAGAAGCACCGGCUAACUCCGUGCCAGCAGCCGCGGUAAUACGGAGGGUGCUAGCGUUAAUCAGAAUUACUGGGCGUAAAGAGCACGUAGGUGGUUUUUUUAAGUCAGAUGUGAAAUCCCUGGGCUUAACCUAGGAACUGCAUUUUGAAACUGAAAAUACUAGAGUAUCGUAGAGGGAGGUAGAAUUCUAGGUGUAGCGGUGAAAUGCGUAGAUAUCUGGAGGAAUACCUGUGGCGAAAAGCGGCCUCCUAAAACGAAUAACUGACACUGAGGUGCGAAAAGCGUGGGGAGCAAAACAGGGAUUAGAUACC
RNAcentral lists this ribosomal RNA (461 nucleotides) under uncultured bacterium. RNAcentral's name for it is "bacterial SSU rRNA". It matches the Rfam family "Bacterial small subunit ribosomal RNA", at positions 340 to 786 of the family's 1533-position model. The record is from RNAcentral.